Molecule: long non-coding RNA, 2618 nt
Filed under: Chlamydomonas reinhardtii
Lineage: Eukaryota; Viridiplantae; Chlorophyta; Chlorophyceae; Chlamydomonadales; Chlamydomonadaceae
Description: long non-coding RNA (CREI_LNC000425)
Source: RNAcentral
ACCGCACUGUAUGCCAGCACAGCAUUGGCCGAUGCCGCAAGGGACGCCUGCUCCAUGAACGACAACUGCACUACCUGGGUGCGUUACCCCAGCACCCCGUACGACCAGGGCCAGUACCUGCCCAGCCAGCCCCAGUGGAUCCAGGCAGGCGCGAGUUGCACGUAUGUGAAGGCCCCGGGCUUUGUGACCGUGCGCCUUCCGCCAAGCCCCGCCCCGCCUUCUCCGCGCCCCCCUUCGCCUUCUCCACCUCGGCCACCCAGCCCGCCGCCUGCUCCGCCCAGCCCCCCGCCCCGGCCACCCAGCCCGGCGCCAGCUCCUCCCAGCCCGGUACCUCGGCCCCCGAGCCCACCACCUGCUCCACCCACCCCUCCAUCGCCGGUGCCCCGGCCAAUAGGUAUGUACGGCAAGCAUCGUACGCACCCUACAUUCAUUCAUUUUGGUAACCUGGGAGACAGACGGUAUGCAUGCAUGUCGAAAACAUAAUUAACCAGCACACAUUAUGGCGACCGCAGCGGCCUGUAUCCAGAGGCCACAUCACGUUGGUUCGACUAAUAACAUGCAGCCGGCUCUAGGGUUCAGCUGACAACAUGAACGCGCAAUACUUUUCGCAUACACUUGCAGUGUGCAGCCCGCCUGCCGGCUGGUGCGGUGGGGGCAACUACCAGGUGGCUGACAGUCGGACAGUGGACUGCGACGGCGACGGCACAGCCGACUACGUGUGUAUCGACGCCCUUGGCAACCGCGGUGUGAUCCUCAACAACCAGACCGCCAUUGCCUGUGAGGACACCUGGCCAUCUGUGGACCGGUCCGCGGCGCGUUGCCCCGUCUUCUUCCUGCAACGUGAGUUGGUGAUUGAUGAUGAUUGCGGCUUGGACACAUGCAUGCGGGUCAUCACGCACCAUGGCUCGUAUGUACGGACGGCAGUUGUACUCGUUGCCGUCUGUCACUAUACCGUCAUGCAUGCCUACGAUUGAUGCCUUGAUGCAUGUGCAUGCAUAGAGCAUAUCACAUUUUUAUUGCCACAUACCGUGUCCACGAAGGUUGGCAACGAUCGAAUGACGCAUUUUCCUCCUGCCCACUCGCUGGCGUCUACCUGCUGCAGGCUGUCCCAACGUCACUGGCUACAUCACCAUCCCGGAAUCUUACCCAGUGGCCCAGGCUGGCCAGACCGCACUGUAUGCCAGCACAGCAUUGGCCGAUGCCGCAAGGGACGCCUGCUCCAUGAACGACAACUGCACUACCUGGGUGCGUUACCCCAGCACCCCAUACGACCAGGGCCAGUACCUGCCCAGCCAGCCCCAGUGGAUCCAGGCAGGCGCGAGUUGCACGUAUGUGAAGGCCCCGGGCUUUGUGACCGUGCGCCGUCCGCCAAGCCCUGCCCCGCCUUCUCCGCGCCCCCCUUCGCCUUCUCCACCUCGGCCACCCAGCCCGCCUCCAGCUCCGCCCAGCCCCCCGCCCCGGCCACCCAGCCCGGCGCCAGCUCCUCCCAGCCCGGUGCCUCGGCCGCCGAGCCCACCACCUGCUCCACCCACCCCUCCAUCGCCGGUGCCCCGGCCAUUAGGUAUGUACGGCAAGCAUCGUACGCACCCUACAUUCAUUCAGUUUGGUAACCUGGGAGAUAGACGGUAUGCAUGCAUGUCGAAAACAUAAUUAACCAGCACACAUUAUGGCGACCGCAGCGGCCUGUAUCCAGAGGCCACAUCACGUUGGUUCGACUAAUAACAUGCAGCCGGCUCUAGGGUUCAGCUGACAACAUGAACGCGCAAUACUUCUCGCAUACACUUGCAGUGUGCAGCCCGCCUGCCGGCUGGUGCGGUGGGGGCAACUACCAGGUGGCUGACAGUCGGACAGUGGACUGCGACGGCGACGGCACAGCCGACUACGUGUGUAUCGACGCCCUUGGCAACCGCGGUGUGAUCCUCAACAACCAGACCGCCAUUGCCUGUGAGGACACCUGGCCAUCUGUGGACCGGUCCGCGGCGCGUUGCCCCGUCUUCUUCCUGCAACGUGAGUUGGUGAUUGAUGAUGAUUGCGGCUUGGACACAUGCAUGCGGGUCAUCACGCACCAUGGCUCGUAUGUACGGACGGCAGUUGUACUCGUUGCCGUCUGUCACUAUACCGUCAUGCAUGCCUACGAUUGAUGCCUUGAUGCAUGUGCAUGCAUAGAGCAUAUCACAUUUUUAUUGCCACAUGUGUCCACGAAGGUUGGCAACGAUCGAAUGACGCAUUUUCCUCCUGCCCACUCGCUGGCGUCUACCUGCUGCAGGCUGUCCCAACGUCACUGGCUACAUCACCAUCCCGGAAUCUUACCCAGUGGCCCAGGCUGGCCAGACCGCACUGUAUGCCAGCACAGCAUUGGCCGAUGCCGCAAGGGACGCCUGCUCCAUGAACGACAACUGCACUACCUGGGUGCGUUACCCCAGCACCCCAUACGACCAGGGCCAGUACCUGCCCAGCCAGCCCCAGUGGAUCCAAGCAGGCGCGAGUUGCACGUAUGUGAAGGCCCCGGGCUUUGUGACCGUGCGCCGUCCGCCAAGCCCUGCCCCGCCUUCUCCGCGCCCCCCUUCGCCUUCUCCACCUCGGCCACCCAGCCCGCCUCCAGCUCCGCCCAGCCCCCC